RNAcentral lists this ribosomal RNA (253 nucleotides) under uncultured bacterium. RNAcentral describes it as "partial 16S ribosomal RNA". It matches the Rfam family "Bacterial small subunit ribosomal RNA", at positions 524 to 776 of the family's 1533-position model. The record is from RNAcentral.
UACGUAGGCUCCAAGCGUUAUCCGGAUUUAUUGGGCGUAAAGGGUGCGUAGGAUGUUUCGCGCGUCUCCUGUUAAAUUUCACCGCUUAACGGUGGAGCCGCAGGGGAUACGGCGAAGCUAGAGGGUGCGAGAGGUCUGUGGAACACAAGGUGUAGGGGUGAAAUCCGUUGAUAUCUUGUGGAACACCAAAGGCGAAGGCAGCAGACUGGCGCAUCUCUGACUCUGAGGCACGAAAGCGUGGGGAGCAAAAAGG